This 253-nucleotide ribosomal RNA is filed under the name uncultured bacterium. RNAcentral describes it as "partial 16S ribosomal RNA". It matches the Rfam family "Bacterial small subunit ribosomal RNA", at positions 524 to 776 of the family's 1533-position model. The record is from RNAcentral.
UACGGAGGGUGCAAGCGGUAAUCGAAUUUAUUGGGCGUAAAGGUCGCGUCGGCGGAGACGUAAGUCGGAUGUGAAAUCCCGGAGCUUAACUCCGGAACUGCAUUGGUAACCGCCUCCCUGGAGGAUGGACGCAGUAGGCGGAAUUCCACAUGUUGCGGUGAAAUGCGUAGAUAGGUGGAAGAACACCUGUGGCGAAAGCGGACCUCUAGUUUAUUCUUGACGCUGAGGCGCGAAAGCAAGGGGAGCAAACAGG